CACAAAUAUUCAGAAAAAAAUUAAUAUUUGUCAUUUGUAUAUAUACAUCAGAAGAUAUUUAUAAGUUAUCUUUUGUUUUUUAAAUGUCAAAUUUUUAUAUUUAACAAAAUUUUUAUCAUAGUUAUUCAUGUUUGCACCCUUAUGACCGAUCGUAAGACGCCCCUGUACAAUUCUAAAAUUCUUUACACAUAUACAAGAAAUGUAACAUAUGUGUGCGAUUUUUUCAUACUUUCUUCGUCCUGAAGUCGAUAGGCCAGCGCUCCAUCCUCGUGCACCAACCAUUCGCGGCACACUGUAACAACACCACGGCAAGUACGACUCUGUGACAGGAGGCGUCUUUAUGAUGGAAAAGAAAAAGAACCAAUAUCCUACCCUCGUUAACGCGACCUGCUUUUGGAUCAUCGAUGCUGUCCGGUUUGUAUUUACAACCACCUUGCGCGAGAGCAGUCACGACGUUGUUUUCUCUCCAUCUUGGAACGGCAAGCUGCCAGACGAAUGAAUAACGUGCGACUACGUUCACACGCGACAUAUAUAUACAUAC
Molecule: long non-coding RNA, 541 nt
Organism: Odontomachus brunneus
Lineage: Eukaryota; Metazoa; Arthropoda; Insecta; Hymenoptera; Formicidae
Exons: 3
Source: RefSeq, a predicted model, not a curated record